UGAACCUUGCCCCUGCAGCCCAGCAACUCCUUGUGUUCCGUGGCGGUUCCAUCACUGUUCCUGACGCCCUGUUAUCCAUCCUGUCACCCUGAAGACCGACUGCCAAGGAGUCUCUCCAAAUCUUGCUAAGAGUGCUUUUCCAUGGUGGUAACAAAUGCAAGUCUUCCACACGGUGUGAACUCUGGUUCUCUAACCUCCUUCUGCUGUCAUCGCUGCCUUCUGAGGCCAUGGCCCGUGGGAGGGGCGUGGAAGGAAGGAGCUGCUCACACCUUGGGAGUGGGAGACUGGGGUGCUGUGAACUGAACACAGGACCAGAAGCGAACUUGUGUCCAACGUGAGAUUCACCCCCAGAUGUUCAUGUUCUUGCCAUUCCAUGGGUCAGCAUUUCCCGUCAUUUCUGUAAGCCUGUCGUGGGGUCAGCAGGAGCAGUGGCCUUUCUGGAAGCAGUCCCGACAUGGCAAGGACGCCCCCGCCCCAUCCCAGGGCACUGGCAGAGCACUCGAUCUCAGAGCCUGGUGAGGUGUGGGUGUGCAAUGAGGAGAGGACGGCACGGCGAUGGUGGAGGAACAGCCCUGCACGGCAGUCACGGCACCGUCCUUUACUGGGUCAUGCCAGCGUGUUUCCGCGUUGAACAGCCUCACACGGAGCUUGUCGGAGGCAGAACACCGUGAAAGUCCCGCUGCUGCUGCCAGCCGUCGGCACGACCGCUGUCCUCUGCUUUCAAGCACUUUGCACCAUGAGCACAUUGGGAGGCCUUGCUGUGUGUGCUUCAGAGGGAGACUUGAAUAAUGAAAAAAUCAGAGAAAAAUUGGAAAAGGACAGGGGCUAAAAGGCUACAAGGACUUGGAGCACUUCUCAUUCCUAAAAUAAGAACAAGCCUUUCCCAGUGUUAGAGUGGCUAGGUGCGCGGGAACGUUUGUUUCGGCACUCACCUUCCAAGGACGGAAGACGGAAAGGCGCCAUGAAGUUGGUAGACAGUGGCUAGACAGUUGGUAGACAGUGGCAGGUGUUUUUGGAAUGGAAAUAGGAGCUAUAAGGAAUCAUGAUUGUGGCUGAGAGGGAGAAGAUUCUAGAGCCAUGCAGAUGAUACUGAAUUCCUGUGUUUUGUUUUGUUUUUUGAAGCAGCGUCUCACCGUGUUGCCCAGGCUGGCUUUAAGUUGUGAUUCUCCCGCCCGUCCCCCUGAGGGCUAGAAUUACAGGUGUGUGCCAUCGUGUCUGGCUACAGAUCUAGUUUCUAUCUCACUGAUCUGUUUUGACUUAGAUUAGAUUAUUUAAAAUACUUUAUUCACUGAUAUUUUUGAAACAGGAUAAUCAUUGCUGUCAUAUUAAAUCUGAUGAUUGAAGGAGAUAAUGAAUUGGGCUGGCACAAAGCUUUGCCUAAUACAGAGAAGCUCUUAAUAUGCCGCUGAGGAUCAUGAGUGUUAUUAGGUGAACACAAACUCGUUAGACACUAGGCUAAGUUUGGAGUGUAAAAAGUAUCUGACAUACUAGGCCUGGAGGGUGUGCAGAGAGGAAUCACACCUGUGUUCUUCCUCAGGUGUUCUGGGAGACACAGGAAUGUGGGGCCUGAGGCUCAGCAGCCAUUUUGUUGCCAUGAGUAAAAACAAGCCUGGGAUUUCCAGGCAUACUCACGAGGAGCGGGAAAGCAAGGGAAAUGCAGCAUGAGAAAAAGCAAGAGACAAAGCAGGGUAGUCGGGAUUACAUCCUCUGCGCCUGCGGUCCGCCGUGCCUACCUUUGUGAAUUCUAGUUCUGGAGCCAGUUAACUGUGCGCCAGCCCUGGAGUUCCCGGCAGCUGGCAGCAGAGUCUGAAGUGCCAAGUGCUAGCCCUGCCUUUCAGGCUUUUGAUCUAGCCUCCUGAGCUGUGCGGCGGGUCACCAGCGGGAGGCGGAGCGGAGGGAGGGCCCAGAGCGCCUCUCCUGACUCCAGACACGG
Molecule: long non-coding RNA, 1933 nt
Organism: Perognathus longimembris pacificus (Pacific pocket mouse)
Lineage: Eukaryota; Metazoa; Chordata; Mammalia; Rodentia; Heteromyidae
Exons: 3
Source: RefSeq, a predicted model, not a curated record